This 3047-nucleotide long non-coding RNA is filed under the name Sus scrofa (pig). RNAcentral's name for it is "lncRNA (ENSSSCG00000061553.1)". Lineage: Eukaryota; Metazoa; Chordata; Mammalia; Artiodactyla; Suidae. The record is from RNAcentral.
GCUGCACCAGCAGCAUAUGGAAGUUCUAGGCCAGGGAGGGAUCGAAUCAGAGCUGUAGCUGGUGGCCUACACCAUAGCCACAGCUAUACCAGAUCCAAGAUGCAUCUGCAACCUAUGGCCACAGUUUAUGGAAAUGCCAGAUCCUUAACCCACUGAAGAAGGCCAGGGAUGGAACCCACAUCCGCUUGGAUACUAUGUCAAGUUUUUAGCCCGUUGAGACACAAUGGAAACUCCAAAAGAGAAUCAUUUUAAAGCUCUUUGGAGGCUUACAGGUCAUCUAGUUCAACUUCAUUUUACACAGGAAGGAACUGGGGGCAAGGAUGGCCAUAUUGAAGUAAAAUGCUUUUCCUCACAAAGGUAGUUAAUGGCAAAGGCAACGCCAGAUGCCAGCCAGGACUCCUGAGCCUGGGAUGGCUGUGUCCGGGACUACUCCCAUCACUGGGACUCAAAUGUCAAAGGACACCCUACACCACAGAAAGAGGUCCCACUAGUGUCCCUCUGGAGUUGGCCCAUACAUUUUCUUCUCUGCGCUACCAUACUCUUUCUCAGUGCUCAUCAAAGAGCCACGAGACCCUAAGAGCUCAUAAAAGGCUUUAGAAGACAAAACCACCUGCUACUAUCUGAAAUUUUGGAAGAAAAAGGAAUAUGAUUAGAUCUAGGUCACCACGACUGAAAACAGAGGAGGCAUUUUUUUCAUCACACAGAUGUAUAGAUAUACCUACAAAGCAAGGGGUUGGGGUUUUGUUUUGCUUUCCUAGGAUGAUACAUCUCUACACACUGCACACUUUCUGACAAGUCAAAUAAAUGAAACUGUCACAGGCCAGAAGCCUCAAAAAAGAAGACAGUAUUGAACAACUUAUCAAGCAAACACCACCUUUCAAUUUUUAUUUUUUCUUAAAAAAAAAAAAAACAGGACUCACACAAGUAUACUUUUAUUUUUAAUGAGAAAAGAGACAAAAUGUUGACUUUGUUGGUGAAUACUGAACAGAUGGAACCAUAAGCAUGGAGGGGAGAGGAGUGAGAGACAAAUAUGGUUGUCAUGGUUUCACUGAGAUGCAGUAAACAAAGGGACCCAAAUGGACAAUGAAAGCCCCCGCUGGGGGAAAAAACCCACAUGUCGCUUGUUUCUUUCUUAGGUAAUUGCCAAGCUCGCUUGGAAGGUCUGGAGUCCAUGAGAGAUGAGAAAACAGCAAUGCUGUCACUCAACCCGGCUAUCCUCAAAUCAUAUUUACCCUGGACCCAGCCUACCCUCCUAUAUAACAGACAGCCACGAUUAAUGACUACCUCAGAUUAAUCAGUUAGCCCAGUCGGCAGCGUCCUGCAGAAACCUGUGCCACAUGUAAUCAUGAGGGAAGCUGGUAUGGCAUGACACCCAGUUCUCUGUUUAACUGGGAAGCAGCAAGCACGUAUGAACAACACCUUGAAAGAUUUGUACAUCCUGCUGACACAUCAAGGUCCCGGGCUUAGGUUCACUCUUCAGUUAUCUCCAAAUUAACUUAAAUGCACCUCAACUGUAUUUCAGGUAACUGUGAAUCAUGGAUAGCUUGAUAUUCCUGCAUUGCCCAGUUAUGGCCCCAUACCUUGUUUAUGGGAGUGUCGGAAAAGGAAAAGAAUGGAGAUAGAGAGGGAUCUCUUCCAAACAACUUUUUUGAGGGUCAAAUUCAAGUCCUGCACAAUGAAGCUUGUAUCUAUCAUGGCAAACAGGCAAACGUCGGAACAUUCAAAAGUUUGGCUGAACUCACAUGUUUUGUCUGGAGGUUCUGAUCUGGUUGACACGAGGUCUUUUCCAAGGUCAUCGCAUAAGGCUGCCGGCGCUGAGGUCAGGCUGUUUAAACCCGGAGUUCUAUAGCAGCCCCCCUCCCACGCCUGCCAAAAUAGAUUCUUUCUAGUCCACACAAGACUAGGGGUUGUUUUCUCCUUGUUUUCCAUGACCUUCAUGAAUGACCUUCCAGACCUCCAAAGGCUUGGACAACUUGAGCAGGGUCUUGUGUAGAGGUGAGGAAUGUGGCUGUGUUUAGGAGACACUGAUUCUGGGGUGAUGGUGGUGAGACUGUGGGCACUCAAGCUAGCUGCAGACAGAGGGAGGGAGGGAGGUUUGCCUUGGCUCAGUUACAUGUCUUCAGAAGCCAAAAAGAGCAAUUUUCAGGUUGUUGCAAUUUCUCUCUCUCGUGAGUCUGGCCCUAAGGCCUGUAGCCUGCAACAUCUCAUUUCCUGUUUGGGGAUUUCCUGAAAUCGAAACUGAGAUGUUGGCCUCUGUAAAGAAACCUGUAGAAAGGCUUUUCCUCUGGAACUAUGACUGUGUGAGUCAGCUUCAGUGCACACUUGGCCUCGCCAACUGGAUGCUCUUUCCACACCUCCUCUGAAAGUGCAUGUACGGCCUCUUCUUCAUUGCCCAUACCCUCUGUUCCUGGUCAACAUUCCCCCCUACUUUCUGAAAAUAUGAAAGCCUCUUAUUAUAAAGUUUAUUUGGAGGUGUUGCUUUUCCAAAAGACAGGUGCAGACUAUGAAUUCUGGGGAGCCAUAUUAUCCCCUAUCAUUGUAAAACUAAAGGAAAUUUUGGAUAAGCAUCAAUUUUUUAAAAAUCACAGCCUUGAUGAAUGUAGAUCUGGGACUUGUACAGGGAGGGUGGUUACAUAAUAAGUAGAGCACAGGAAAUACCAGCAUCCGCUAUUUUCUUUGACCCUUAAAGCUGGUUUUCCAUAACCAUGACCAUGGUUUACCAUAGGGUCACUUCCAAGAUCCAAACAUUAUUUUUUCCUGAGUUUUUGUUGUUAACUCGAAUAUAUCACCAUCACAGUCCUUUGUGAGCUUUGCUCUGCCAGGUCUCAAAACAGAGAAGAGAGGAGUUCCCAUCAUGGCUCAGCAGUUAAAGAACCUGACUAGUAUCCAUGAGGACACGGGUUCAAUCCCUGGCAUUGCUCAGUGGGUUAAAGAUUGAGCAUUUCCAUGAGCUGUGGUGUAGGCCGGCAGUUAAAGCUCCGAUUCAACCCCUCGCCUAGGAACCUACAUAUGCCAUGGGUGCGGCCCUAAAAAAGAUACACACACAU